CUGUUUUUAUGAUAUUUAGAAUGUCACGAAAAGCUAUCAGUAUUGUUCAUGGUGGUAAACGAAACUCUGGAUGCUAUAUUUGGAGAUGUUGAUAACAUUUCCCCAAGACUAGAUAUAUUAUCAACUCUUUAUUUCCCUUGGCACUACUUAAUGUGACACCAGUAUAUUUCCAGAAUGACAUUCCUGUCAAAUUAUUUUUAGAGAUGAAAGUAGGCUACAAAGUUCUUUGUAAACAUUAAUGCAAAACUCAACAGAGUAACCUGAAAUCAAAUGUGUGGCUAAACAAGCAUUUAUUCAUGUUUGAACUGUUUUUUUACAUUUUUGUUUGAGUUAUGAACAUUAUAAAUUGAAGUACAAUU
Molecule: long non-coding RNA, 359 nt
Filed under: Amphimedon queenslandica
Lineage: Eukaryota; Metazoa; Porifera; Demospongiae; Haplosclerida; Niphatidae
Description: uncharacterized LOC105314387, transcript variant X1
Source: RNAcentral